GAUCCGCCACACUGGAACUGAGACACGGUCCAGACUCCUACGGGAGGCAGCAGUGGGGAAUUUUGGACAAUGGGGGCAACCCUGAUCCAGCCAUGCCGCGUGAGUGAAGAAGGCCUUCGGGUUGUAAAGCUCUUUCAGCCGGGAAGAAAACGCAUGGGUUAAUACCCUGUGUGGAUGACGGUACCGGAAUAAGAAGCACCGGCUAACUACGUGCCAGCAGCCGCGGUAAUACGUAGGGUGCGAGCGUUAAUCGGAAUUACUGGGCGUAAAGCGUGCGCAGGCGGUUUUGUAAGACAGGCGUGAAAUCCCCGGGCUUAACCUGGGAACUGCGUUUGUGACUGCAAGGCUAGAGUACGGCAGAGGGGGGUGGAAUUCCACGUGUAGCAGUGAAAUGCGUAGAGAUGUGGAGGAACACCAAUGGCGAAGGCAGCCCCCUGGGUCGAUACUGACGCUCAUGCACGAAAGCGUGGGUAGCAAACAGGAUUAGAUACCCUGGUAGUCCACGCCCCAAACGAUGUCAACUAGGUGUUGGGAGGGUAAAACCUUUUAGUACCGGAGCUAACGCGUGAAGUUGACCGCCUGGGGAGUACGGCCGCAAGGUUAAAACUCAAAGGAAUUGACGGGGACCCGCACAAGCGGUGGAUGAUGUGGAUUAAUUCGAUGCAACGCGAAAAACCUUACCUACCCUUGACAUGCCAAGAACUUUCCAGAGAUGGAUUGGUGCCCGAAAGGGAACUUGGACACAGGUGCUGCAUGGCUGUCGUCAGCUCGUGUCGUGAGAUGUUGGGUUAAGUCCCGCAACGAGCGCAACCCUUGUCGUUAAUUGCCAUCAUUUAGUUGGGCACUUUAACGAGACUGCCGGUGACAAACCGGAGGAAGGUGGGGAUGACGUCAAGUCCUCAUGGCCCUUAUGGGUAGGGCUUCACACGUCAUACAAUGGUCGGUACAAAGGGUCGCCAAGCCGCGAGGUGGAGCCAAUCCCAGAAGGCCGAUCGUAGUCCGGAUCGCAGUCUGCAACUCGACUGCGUGAAGUCGGAAUCGCUAGUAAUCGUGGAUCAGAAUGUCACGGUGAAUACGUUCCCGGGUCUUGUACACACCGCCCGUCACACCAUGGGAGCGGGUUCCGCCAGAAGUAGGUAGCCUAACCGCAAGGAGGGCGCUUACCACGGCGGGGUUCGUGACUGGGGUGAAGUCGUAACAAGGUA
RNAcentral lists this ribosomal RNA (1205 nucleotides) under metagenome. Its description in RNAcentral is "bacterial SSU rRNA". It matches the Rfam family "Bacterial small subunit ribosomal RNA", at positions 302 to 1498 of the family's 1533-position model. The record is from RNAcentral.